Molecule: ribosomal RNA, 459 nt
Filed under: Triticum aestivum (bread wheat)
Lineage: Eukaryota; Viridiplantae; Streptophyta; Magnoliopsida; Poales; Poaceae
Description: partial small subunit ribosomal RNA
Source: RNAcentral
AUGUCCUGUCUCAUCUCACUACCAUCAAAGCAGCUGGCUCUCUGCCGUUUCCACUGGCCACUGCAAGGAGAGGCAGCUAGUUUGACCACCGUUCCCCACACUAUCUCACCGGGAGUUUCUCGCCGGAUCGAGCACCGUCUUCCUGCCGCGCGCGGAGUUCACCGGAACCGGAUCCGGCGGAGGGAAGCACGGCUGCCAUUGCUCGCCGCCGUCUCCCAGGGUGACCCGAACCCGAUGCGACGGAGCAGGAUGCCGGACAGGAGAGGCGCGGCCGUGAUCGACGACCUGCCCGACGACAUCAUCUUCGGCAAGAUCCUCAUCACGCUGCCGCCCAAGGACAUCGGGCGCUGCCGCAUGGUCCGCACGUCGUGGCGCAGCGCCACAUUCACGCCGGAAUUCAUGGCCGAGUACCGCCGCCGGCAGCCGAGUACCGCCGCGCAGUUUCGUCACCCUCCGUGA